RNAcentral lists this ribosomal RNA (425 nucleotides) under uncultured bacterium. Its description in RNAcentral is "bacterial SSU rRNA". It matches the Rfam family "Bacterial small subunit ribosomal RNA", at positions 356 to 772 of the family's 1533-position model. The record is from RNAcentral.
GAGGAAUAUUGGACAAUGGGCGAGAGCCUGAUCCAGCCAUGCCGCGUGCAGGAAGACGGUCCUAUGGAUUGUAAACCGCUUUUGUCAGGGAAGAAAUACGCUGGGUUAAUACCUCGGCGGGAUGACGGUACCUCAAGAAUAAGCACCGGCUAACUACGUGCCAGCAGCCGCGGUAAUACGUAGGGUGCAAGCGUUAAUCGGAAUUACUGGGCGUAAAGCGUGCGCAGGCGGUCGUGCAAGACAGAUGUGAAAUCCCCGGGCUUAACCUGGGAACUGCAUUUGUGACUGCACGGCUAGAGUACGGUAGAGGGGGAUGGAAUUCCGCGUGUAGCAGUGAAAUGCGUAGAUAUGCGGAGGAACACCGAUGGCGAAGGCAGUCCCCUGGACCUGUACUGACGCUCAUGCACGAAAGCGUGGGGAGCAAA